GCCACCGAGUCGACCAACCUCGCUCGUAAAGCGGGUGUCGCAGGUUCGAAUCCUGCCGGGGGCA
RNAcentral lists this transfer RNA (64 nucleotides) under Streptomyces sp. OK228. RNAcentral's name for it is "tRNA_Tyr_GTA". The record is from RNAcentral. Lineage: Bacteria; Bacillati; Actinomycetota; Actinomycetes; Kitasatosporales; Streptomycetaceae.